GUCACCCGGCAGUGGAACCCAGACAGAUCUUUGCUGGUUGCCGUCCCACUCAUGACUCCUCCAGGAACCCAAGGACAUGGUGAAUGUCAGCCUCCCUUGGCUGGCAUUCCCCUCUGGGAACCCAAAACUCCGGAACCCACCUUGCCCCCACAGGUAUUCUACCAGACCAGCAACCCGGUAACUGGGGGACGGGUCACC
Pipistrellus kuhlii (Kuhl's pipistrelle) is the source of this 198-nucleotide long non-coding RNA. RefSeq lists it as uncharacterized. The transcript is spliced from 3 exons. The record is from RefSeq and is a predicted model, not a curated record. NCBI's taxonomy places the organism in Eukaryota, Metazoa, Chordata, Mammalia, Chiroptera, Vespertilionidae.